RNAcentral lists this ribosomal RNA (110 nucleotides) under Mustela putorius furo (domestic ferret). Lineage: Eukaryota; Metazoa; Chordata; Mammalia; Carnivora; Mustelidae. The record is from RNAcentral.
GAAGAUAGCCAUACCACCCUGAACACGCUCAUUUUCCUCUGAUCUUGGAAGCUAAGCAAGAUUGGGCCUGGUUAGUACUGGGAUGGGAGAAAACAUUGGUAUUUUGGUCU